GUAUACCUACGGGGGGCAGCAGUGGGGAAUAUUGGGCAAUGGGCGCAAGCCUGACCCAGCAAUGCCGCGUGAAGGAAGAAGGCCCUCGGGUUGUAAACUUCUUUUAUCAGGGACGAAGGAUGUGACGGUACCUGAUGAAUAAGCUCCGGCUAACUCCGUGCCAGCAGCCGCGGUAAUACGGGGGAUGCGAGCGUUAUCCGGAUUUAUUGGGUUUAAAGGGUGCGUAGGCGGCGCUUCAGGUCAGCGGUGAAAUACCGGGGCUCAACCCCGGGGCUGCCGUUGAAACCGGAGCGCUAGAAUUCCGA
Molecule: ribosomal RNA, 305 nt
Filed under: uncultured bacterium
Lineage: Bacteria
Description: bacterial SSU rRNA
Rfam family: Bacterial small subunit ribosomal RNA
Source: RNAcentral